AAACACGCAGAUCCAACUGAUGCUUCGAGACGCCCUGGUGGUAACGUCGCCGUGGUGUCAAUAUGCCUGGUGACCACAGCGCGUCUACUUACGUGAUAACGUGCACCUAAUGCGUGCAGGAGGCACGAAAACGAAAUGUUACAGCGUUUGAAGGCCUUCCAUCAUCCUCUCUUCAAAGGCUUGCGCGGGUGAAACGAGGAGAUGCAAGCACGAGUGGCAUCCUUUGUGCAACGUCACCGAUGUCUGCCACGCCACGCUUUCCCAGCUGACUUGGCACGUCAUCGGGCAAGCGCUCGUACGCAGCGCCCGAAGCCUACACGUCCCAGAUCCUCCAUGAACAGGCUCAGUAGCUCGCGCAAACAAGUCAAAGUUGUCUGUACAGUGCUCACCAGUUGAAACGCUAUACUCGGAGCUCGUGGACGCCGGCGGUCGUGUCGCCACCGAGGAGCGUUCGUGAAAGUAAACUGGCGCAUGCGUGGCCUCCGAGAUAGCCUUCGGCAACCUGCGCGUUGCCGGGGCUAAUCUCGGAGGCCAUGGUGCAUGGUGGUAUACACUGAGGACGAGAGGCUUGGUGACGUAUGGUGGCUGCAUCCGGCCGACAGUCCUUCGGUUUGCGGUUCUCAGUGGCGCAGUGCAAGCAAUGCAUUUUAGAUCAUGCUCGCUUGCCGCGUGGCGCUGCUUCAGGCAUACGGGUCGGGGUCGUAAUUUCACAGAGGCUCUUUGUGCACGCGUGACAAACGAAUUUAAUUCCACUCUUGGCGACGUGAUGGCUGGCGUAAAGUUCAUUAGGCGGUUCUCUGGGCCCACGUUUCUUGUUUUCCUGAGCACGUAAUAGGCCGCGAGCACCUUAAGUCUGCUCCGAUGCCACGCUAGCACAUUGCCGAAAGUCGAAAUACAAUCAUUUGACAUACGUGCACAUCCUGCCACCUGCGGAAGUACUACGGCGGCACGUGUACUUCGUGUAGCAUGGCAGGCGAGCGCCGUGUAAAAACCAUGGCUAGCAGCUCUCCGGCGGCUUCACCGUGAAACGUCGACAGAACAAUUGUCUGCCGGAUGCAGCCUCCAUACAUCACCAACCCUCUCACCCUCAACGUAUACCACAAUGCACGAGAUUGCUUUCACGAACGCUCGCCCGGCGACGCAACAACCACUGCCGGCCACUCGCUCCGAAUAUCGCGUUUAAUUUGCUGAACACUGUACAUUAGGGUUAAUAGGUUGAUGUUGUUGUGUUGCUAAACCCGCGUUUCGUACGCGCUGGUGAAGUUUUCGAAUGUACAUAUAGGAGUAUACGUUGAGUGUUCACGGUUCGAUGUCUUCGGCCUCUUGAACUUGCUGCGUCAGAGUUAUCUGCCCUACAUUGCUUCCCGUUAUUGGCCGAGCUUUUGUGUAUGAAUGUGCGUCCUCCGACCAGUCAGAGAGAAAGAAAGAAAAUGCGAUGCGUACGCACAAAGGAAGAAAGUAAUAAACUGGUAUCAAGAAAAAUUGAUUUACUGAAGUCUGCGGACGUAAGAACACCUAAAUUAGGUAACUUAAAAGCUGGCGAAUGCGAGCCAGUUGAUACGUAUCCAUAGUUAAAAACAACGCAAGGUAAACACGGGCAAGAUUCACACAGGGCUAGCGCUGUCCUGUGUACAUCUUGUCCGUGUUUACCAUGCGCUGUUUUUAACUAUGAGCCUAAAUUAGCGAUCGGUGUCGCAGAAGCGACACUGCCUCCAAAGGUGGCGCGGUCUCUCGUACGCUCUGAGAUCCGUAAUAUGUACCUUGCUUUUUAAUUUUCCAUUAACUACUGCGCCAGAGGCCCUUCUCCUCUCGUUUCUCAAUCUGCAGUAGAAAAAUCAUUAGCAGAAGCGCGCUUCACUGGGUUAUAGCAUAAGAUGAAGUGCACUUAUGCGGCACACUUAAUCAACUACAAUUAAUGAACUGUCAGGGUAAUCAACGAAAAUUUAUUGAAUGGUUUCAUUGAGAAAGCGGACGGUUUUCUUGUGAGCAGCUCGGAUCGUUGCGGCACCUGGUGGAUAAGAUCUCAACCACGUGCUUCUUUCUGCGUGGCCUCUGAGAUCCCCUUCGGCAGUGGGCACACGUACGCCUACGUGCGAGCGCCACUACCAGCAACCUAGGUGAAGGAUUAGGGUCACCUCCAAUCUAAUGAAGUUUAAACCCAUUUAUCAUCUCCAUUUUUUCUAAUGAGGUUUAAACCCAUUUAUCCUAAAUUACGUUUCACGACGACUUCUAUAUCAGGUUUUUGAGAGCCAUAGGUACGUCUGCUCUCCACAGAAUCGGGCGACGCGUCCAUCAAGCGCGAAAGAAUCAAUACAGACUGAACACAAGAGGCGCCGUUUCAUUUGAUCUGUGAGUAUCGUAUCCAGAAACGUGCUCUAGACCUAUCGGGGUUUUUUUUGAACGUCAAAAUAACGAAGCAGCUGACAUGUUGUUUCGCUGUUCUGAGCUAAAAAGCUCGCAAAUCUGUUCUGUGGGUACCAUAGAUAAAAUCAACUUCCAGCGCGAGUUUUGCUGCAUCCUCUCGUAAAGGCCGCGUUCUCCUCUCUUGAUGCGCACAGAAAGCGAGGGCAUUAAUGACUGCUCCAGCGCCAAUGUACAGAAAUGUAAGGUGGCUACAUCAGCCUCCUAGUCCCUCUUCUCAGGUAGACCAUCUGUUAAUAAUCUGUCAUUCUAUCAUGUGUACAUACAUACAUCGUCGAUCAUUGUAAAUCUGUCUGUCGCCGACUCGUCGUGCAGCGCUACUGCGAACACAACGGCGGAAUGUGCUGUGUACAUAGCAGAAAUAAAAGUGGUCAAA
This is a long non-coding RNA of Rhipicephalus sanguineus (brown dog tick), 2797 nucleotides long. RefSeq lists it as uncharacterized. NCBI's taxonomy places the organism in Eukaryota, Metazoa, Arthropoda, Arachnida, Ixodida, Ixodidae. The record is from RefSeq and is a predicted model, not a curated record. The transcript has 2 exons.